Gasterosteus aculeatus aculeatus (three-spined stickleback) is the source of this 273-nucleotide long non-coding RNA. The record is from Ensembl. NCBI's taxonomy places the organism in Eukaryota, Metazoa, Chordata, Actinopteri, Perciformes, Gasterosteidae.
GUGCCAAACCCCAAGCCACCCCCACCCCCUCGAAUGGUCGAGGGGGGGCCGGUCUACACGGUCCCUUGCCCUUCCUCAUGUGUCACCGGUCUGAUUGUCUCCCCUGAUUCCUGAUUGUGUCCACCUGUUCCCACAACUCCCUCAUGGGUACUUAUAGUCUGCGUCGCCCCUUGUCCUGUGCCAGUGUGUCUUGUUGUUUUGCCCUGCACACCAGCCCUCACGUCACGAGUCAAGUCAAGUCCGAUAACGUUUGUCACGUCCUUUUGAUCCCUG